UGCUUCCCGAAUAAACCAUGGAAAGUAAUUUCUGCCCGGUGAAUUCUUAAACGGCCGCGGUACCCUGACCGUGCAAAGGUAGCAUAAUAGCUUGCCUUCUAAUUAGAGGCUUGUAUGAAUGAACCAACGUGAGUGCAGCUGUCUCUUUCGUACCCCUAAAAUUUAACCUGCAUGUGAAAAGGCAUGCAUCUUACUAAAAGACAAGAAGACCCUGUCGAGCUUAAUUGAUACCGCCUUUACUUUGGUAAUUUUUUAAUCUUUAUCAAGGCGCACCAAUUUAGUUGGGGCAACAAGGGAACACCUAAAACUUCCUUCCGUAGAUUCUCUUAAGAUCACCCACCCUAUUUCUUAGGCAUAAAAUUAAAGCUACCGCAGGGGUAACAGGUU
RNAcentral lists this ribosomal RNA (387 nucleotides) under Euphrosinopsis sp. DZMB HH 50004-K. Its description in RNAcentral is "partial large subunit ribosomal RNA". It matches the Rfam family "Archaeal large subunit ribosomal RNA", at positions 1910 to 2552 of the family's 2987-position model. The record is from RNAcentral. Lineage: Eukaryota; Metazoa; Annelida; Polychaeta; Eunicida; Euphrosinidae.